AGAGUUUGAUCCUGGCUCAGGAUGAACGCUGGCGGCGUGCCUAAUACAUGCAAGUCGAGCGAACGGACGAGAAGCUUGCUUCUCUGAUGUUAGCGGCGGACGGGUGAGUAACACGUGGAUAACCUACCUAUAAGACUGGGAUAACUUCGGGAAACCGGAGCUAAUACCGGAUAAUAUUUUGAACCGCAUGGUUCAAAAGUGAAAGACGGUCUUGCUGUCACUUAUAGAUGGAUCCGCGCUGCAUUAGCUAGUUGGUAAGGUAACGGCUUACCAAGGCAACGAUGCAUAGCCGACCUGAGAGGGUGAUCGGCCACACUGGAACUGAGACACGGUCCAGACUCCUACGGGAGGCAGCAGUAGGGAAUCUUCCGCAAUGGGCGAAAGCCUGACGGAGCAACGCCGCGUGAGUGAUGAAGGUCUUCGGAUCGUAAAACUCUGUUAUUAGGGAAGAACAUAUGUGUAAGUAACUGUGCACAUCUUGACGGUACCUAAUCAGAAAGCCACGGCUAACUACGUGCCAGCAGCCGCGGUAAUACGUAGGUGGCAAGCGUUAUCCGGAAUUAUUGGGCGUAAAGCGCGCGUAGGCGGUUUUUUAAGUCUGAUGUGAAAGCCCACGGCUCAACCGUGGAGGGUCAUUGGAAACUGGAAAACUUGAGUGCAGAAGAGGAAAGUGGAAUUCCAUGUGUAGCGGUGAAAUGCGCAGAGAUAUGGAGGAACACCAGUGGCGAAGGCGACUUUCUGGUCUGUAACUGACGCUGAUGUGCGAAAGCGUGGGGAUCAAACAGGAUUAGAUACCCUGGUAGUCCACGCCGUAAACGAUGAGUGCUAAGUGUUAGGGGGUUUCCGCCCCUUAGUGCUGCAGCUAACGCAUUAAGCACUCCGCCUGGGGAGUACGACCGCAAGGUUGAAACUCAAAGGAAUUGACGGGGACCCGCACAAGCGGUGGAGCAUGUGGUUUAAUUCGAAGCAACGCGAAGAACCUUACCAAAUCUUGACAUCCUUUGACAACUCUAGAGAUAGAGCCUUCCCCUUCGGGGGACAAAGUGACAGGUGGUGCAUGGUUGUCGUCAGCUCGUGUCGUGAGAUGUUGGGUUAAGUCCCGCAACGAGCGCAACCCUUAAGCUUAGUUGCCAUCAUUAAGUUGGGCACUCUAAGUUGACUGCCGGUGACAAACCGGAGGAAGGUGGGGAUGACGUCAAAUCAUCAUGCCCCUUAUGAUUUGGGCUACACACGUGCUACAAUGGACAAUACAAAGGGCAGCGAAACCGCGAGGUCAAGCAAAUCCCAUAAAGUUGUUCUCAGUUCUGAUUGUAGUCUGCAACUCGACUACAUGAAGCUGGAAUCGCUAGUAAUCGUAGAUCAGCAUGCUACGGUGAAUACGUUCCCGGGUCUUGUACACACCGCCCGUCACACCACGAGAGUUUGUAACACCCGAAGCCGGUGGAGUAACCUUUUAGGAGCUAGCCGUCGAAGGUGGGACAAAUGAUUGGGGUGAAGUCGUAACAAGGUAGCCGUAUCGGAAGGUGCGGCUGGAUCACCU
RNAcentral lists this ribosomal RNA (1540 nucleotides) under Staphylococcus aureus M0059. RNAcentral describes it as "16S ribosomal RNA". It matches the Rfam family "Bacterial small subunit ribosomal RNA". Lineage: Bacteria; Bacillati; Bacillota; Bacilli; Caryophanales; Staphylococcaceae. The record is from RNAcentral.